GUCUAUUUUUCAGUUGGUACAUUUUAAUAAUGUGUACUGAGUUAGAGUAGACAAAAAUACCCUUAUAUAUUAUGGAUUCUAAGUUUUAAAAUCAAUGAUAUUUAAAUAAUUUUCAUUCUCAAAACUAAAAAAACAAGAAACCCCCAAACCCACCUCUCUCAUUUCUCUCAAUCAUUUUUCUUUCAUCUCUCUCACUCUAACCUUUUCUUUGUCAUCUCUACUGUAGCCCCAAUUAAAA
This 238-nucleotide long non-coding RNA is filed under the name Vigna radiata. Its description in RNAcentral is "long non-coding RNA (VRAD_LNC001525)". The record is from RNAcentral. Lineage: Eukaryota; Viridiplantae; Streptophyta; Magnoliopsida; Fabales; Fabaceae.